Molecule: non-coding RNA, 25 nt
Filed under: Mus musculus (house mouse)
Lineage: Eukaryota; Metazoa; Chordata; Mammalia; Rodentia; Muridae
Source: RNAcentral
UAGCAGCCAGGUCCUGGAUGAUCUC